GGGCCCGUGGUCUAGUUGGUUAUGACGUCGCCUUCACACGGCGGAGGUCCUGAGUUCGAAUCUCAGCGAGCCCA
The sequence is a transfer RNA, 74 nucleotides long. It matches the Rfam family "tRNA". From Rfam's summary of the family: Transfer RNA (tRNA) molecules are approximately 80 nucleotides in length. Their secondary structure includes four short double-helical elements and three loops (D, anti-codon, and T loops). The record is from Rfam.